Molecule: transfer RNA, 64 nt
Filed under: Prymnesium neolepis
Lineage: Eukaryota; Haptophyta; Prymnesiales; Prymnesiaceae
Source: RNAcentral
CAUGGCGAUGUCCUUCUGUUCCUGCACGCUGAUACCCGUUUACCGGAUUCUACGCUGGCGGCAC